ACUCCUACGGGAGGCAGCAGUGGGGAAUUUUGGACAAUGGGCGAAAGCCUGAUCCAGCAAUGCCGCGUGUGUGAAGAAGGCCUUCGGGUUGUAAAGCACUUUUGUCCGGAAAGAAAUCCUUGGCUCUAAUACAGUCGGGGGAUGACGGUACCGGAAGAAUAAGCACCGGCUAACUACGUGCCAGCAGCCGCGGUAAUACGUAGGGUGCGAGCGUUAAUCGGAAUUACUGGGCGUAAAGCGUGCGCAGGCGGUUUGCUAAGACCGAUGUGAAAUCCCCGGGCUCAACCUGGGAACUGCAUUGGUGACUGGCAGGCUAGAGUAUGGCAGAGGGGGGUAGAAUUCCACGUGUAGCAGUGAAAUGCGUAGAGAUGUGGAGGAAUACCGAUGGCGAAGGCAGCCCCCUGGGCCAAUACUGACGCUCAUGCACGAAAGCGUGGGGAGCAAACAGGAUUAGAAACCCUGGUAGUCCCAUG
RNAcentral lists this ribosomal RNA (473 nucleotides) under uncultured organism. RNAcentral describes it as "partial 16S ribosomal RNA". It matches the Rfam family "Bacterial small subunit ribosomal RNA", at positions 335 to 799 of the family's 1533-position model. The record is from RNAcentral.